AUGAGCGAGCCUGCUACAUCUCCUUCUCUCUCCUCCCGGUCCUCUUCUUCCUCCCGACGCAGAACAGAGGAGAGCUGCUGCCGCCGGUGCUGUCGUCGACUGGGGGCACGAGUGAGCUCGCCAGCGACGGAUCUGGAACGGGCACUCCUCGCGGAACGGGCACUCCUCGCCGCGUUCGGGGGUGGCUGCGGUGUCGCUCGGGGCGGCCUGCAGCGUCGCCGCCAUGGAGGACCACGGCGGCCGAAAAGCUUCAGCGGGGAGUCACGCUGGCCGGGCUCCCUCGCCAGAGUUGGGGGUGGCGGCGGUCUUCGGGCUCCAGGGAGGUCGCGAACACCGAAGAAACGGAGGGGGGCGAGGGACUAG
RNAcentral lists this ribosomal RNA (363 nucleotides) under Triticum aestivum (bread wheat). RNAcentral's name for it is "partial small subunit ribosomal RNA". Lineage: Eukaryota; Viridiplantae; Streptophyta; Magnoliopsida; Poales; Poaceae. The record is from RNAcentral.